This 407-nucleotide ribosomal RNA is filed under the name Lactobacillus delbrueckii. RNAcentral describes it as "bacterial SSU rRNA". It matches the Rfam family "Bacterial small subunit ribosomal RNA", at positions 985 to 1393 of the family's 1533-position model. The record is from RNAcentral. Lineage: Bacteria; Bacillati; Bacillota; Bacilli; Lactobacillales; Lactobacillaceae.
GGUUGGGGGGCCUAACCUAGAGAAGGUGGUUCCCUUCGGGGACGCAGAGACAGGUGGUGCAUGGCUGUCGUCAGCUCGUGUCGUGAGAUGUUGGGUUAAGUCCCGCAACGAGCGCAACCCUUGUCUUUAGUUGCCAUCAUUAAGUUGGGCACUCUAAAGAGACUGCCGGUGACAAACCGGAGGAAGGUGGGGAUGACGUCAAGUCAUCAUGCCCCUUAUGACCUGGGCUACACACGUGCUACAAUGGGCAGUACAACGAGAAGCGAACCCGCGAGGGUAAGCGGAUCUCUUAAAGCUGUUCUCAGUUCGGACUGCAGGCUGCAACUCGCCUGCACGAAGCUGGAAUCGCUAGUAAUCGCGGAUCAGCACGCCGCGGUGAAUACGUUCCCGGGUCUUGUACACACCGA